This is a long non-coding RNA of Pongo pygmaeus (Bornean orangutan), 7000 nucleotides long. RefSeq lists it as uncharacterized. The record is from RefSeq and is a predicted model, not a curated record. NCBI's taxonomy places the organism in Eukaryota, Metazoa, Chordata, Mammalia, Primates, Hominidae. The transcript has 3 exons.
GAGGGAGGAGGAGCCACGGCCCCGCCGCUCGGCCGCGCGCCGUGCAGGCGCCGUGCAGACGCCCCGCCCGCCCGGGCCCCGCCGGCUUCCCGGGACGCACUCUCCUCCCUCCCCGCCGGCGCGCGCACCCUGGACCGAGCGCGCCCUGAAUGCGCGGCGCGCUCGGUCGGACUCGGAGGGAAACCGCGGCAGAGCUCGGCUGCAGCGUGGUAAAGGAUGGCGCGGGCUCAGCAGAAAGGAAAUCAAAACGCUCCCUUCCUUCCGUGGCUUCUCCUUUCACUGUGUCGGAAGAGGUCUGCGUUGCGAGCACUCCAAGUGGAUGAAGAGCAGCUCCUGCCCCCUGCUGGCAGCCCCAGGCCCAGGGGCCUCCACCCCGCAGAGGCCUGAGCCAAGCUCGCCAUUCGCCCUGGGCUGGAUCUCAGCUCCGGAAGGAGACGUCGAGAAGAGGCUGCCAAAGAGCCUGGAGGGGCCGCUUCAGAGCAGCGCCUUGAAGAGGAAGGAGAGGGAGGCUCCACAGGAAAGUCCCAGGGCCAGAAAGAAGGUCAUGAGGGCGCCAGCCACCUCCCUCUCGUGUGGCAGCACCUGCCUAGAACACCCGGGAACAGGAGCUCUUAGAAAAUGCUGGGUCUAAAUCUGGACCCAGCUCCACUGCCCUCUCCCCAUCCAGUCUGGGCUCUGACUCAACCCCUCUGUCACCAUAACUGGCCCCUUUCUUUCCGGGCCUCAGUUUCCUGGUCUGUAAAUGAGGCUGCUGGAUAAGGAUGUCUGUCAGGGCCUCUGGGUCUAACAUGAUGGGAUUCCAGAUUCCACAGCCUGCCCUUUCCACAGUGCUCUCAGCCUGUCUGCCCUGCCAGCUUCAUUCUCUCUGGAUUCUCCACUCCAUUGCCCCUUGAGGAAAUAGCCCAUGACCUUGUUUUUGGUCAAAACCUUAGCUCUCCUUCAACUGAGAAUUUUACAGCUAGAUGGGCCCUGAGGGAUGACAGUUCAACCCAUUUUUUACAGAUGGGGAAACUGAGGCACAUUGAGGCGGCCCCAGAACCAGUGCCCGGGCUACUUGGUUGGGCAGGUGCCUCCCUAGCCCAGUUCUCCUCUCCCCUACAGUUAAGGCUUGGCCCAGCAGGGGGCGCCAGCAAGGCCUGCAGACAGCUAGGGUUGGGCUGGCGGGAAGCAGGAUGGGUCGUCCCUCCCUUGCAGACAGUCCCUUCCCAAAGACUGAACCCACCUCCCCACUCCCAGUCCCCCACCCCACCCCAUUCCCCCGGACCUGGGCGCCAGGCACAUGGUGAGGGACACCAGGUAGCCAUUAGAAACGGCAAAGAGCAGCAUGAAGGUGAUGAAGUAGGCAUCCUGCGGGAAGAGGAUGGGCAGCCGGGACCUCUGGGGCACGUGGCACAGCAUGAAGAGGGGCACAAACAGGAACCGCAGGCAGACCAGCAGGGGCAGCAGCCGGCUGUCCUCGUCUGGCUGUGGUAGAGGCUGGGGUCAGCAUGGUCCCUGGAGCCAGGUCUCUGCUCCAGGGCAUCUCAGGACACCCAUAGAGUACUUUUUUUUUUUUUUUUUUAGAUGAGUCUCGCUCUGUUGCCCAGGCUGGAGUGCAGUGGCCCUGAUCUCAGCUCACUGCAACCUCCACCUCCUGGGUUCAAGAAAUCCUCCUGCUUUAGCCUCCUGAGUAGCUGGGACUAUAGGCGCCCGCCACCACCAUGCCCAGAUAAUUUUUGUAUUUUUAGUAGAGCCGGGUUUCAUCAUGUUGGCCAGGCUGGUCUUGAACUUCUGACCUCAAGUGAUCCACCUGCCUCAGCCUCCCAAAGUGCUGGGAUUACAGGCAUGAGCCACCACACCUGGCCUCUAUUUAUUUCAUUAAAAAUGUAUGUGUGUGUGUGUGUGUGUCUGUGUACAGACAAGGUCUCACUGUGUUGCCCAGGCUGGUUUUGAACUCCUGAGCUCAAGUGAUCCUCUUGCCUUGGCCUCCCAAAGUGCUCAGAUUUUAGAGGUUUUUUUUUUGUUUUUUUUGAGACAGAGUCUCGCUCUGUCUCCCAGGCUGGAGAGCAGUGGUGCAAUCUCGGCUCACUGCAGCCUCUGCCUCCCUGGGAUUACAGGCAUGCACCACCACACCUGGCUUAUUGUUAUCUUUUUAGUAGAGACGGGGUUUCACCAUGUUGGCCAGGCUGGUCUCGAACUCCUGACCUCGCGAUCCACCUGCCUCGGCCUCCCAAAGUGCUGGGAUUACAGGUGUGAGCCACCACGCCUGGCCCACCCAUAGGAUAGAACCAUCUGUCACCCCCUGAGCUCCUCUGACCUGACUUACCCGGUGAGCCAGUGAGGGAGGACCCAGCGCUGGGGCCUGGGCCAAGUCCACCCAGCAAUCAGGGACUGACCUGGGGCUCACCUCUGCCUCUCCCAGGCUCCAGCUUGUGCUCUCCACAGCAUCUACAGUUUACAUACUUGGUUCCUCAUAGCACCCACUGGUGGUUCCACACACCCUCCUGGGGGCAGAUGGGGUUUCUGAGUGGGAUUGGAAGCUGUAGAUCAGCUCCUGUCCUGACUUGGACGAGACCAGCUCCUCUUUCACCUGCUUUAUAUAUUGUCUCUUUGGAAGAUUUCAUUUAAAAUACAGCACCAUGGCUAAAACCAACCCCAAAACUAAGACUCUUGCUCAGUCCCUCACCUGGUGCAGGAACCUCCAUGUAACAUUCUCUGAGCAGCGAAGGCUGGAUGCUGGGGACACAGAGGUCAACUGGACAUGACUUUUGCUUUCAAGGAGCUCACAGUGCAAGCCCUGGCCUGCACGCCUCCAGGGCCCAAGUGCUCCCUGCCGCUUGGCCAGUGGUUCCAUUGCCAGGCCACUUGGACUACCGGAAAAUCACCUCCAUGCUCUUUCAAGCCCUUGGAUCCCAAACUGCUUCCUAAAACAUCGGAUCACCCAGCCCUGGUGUGCUUACCCACAGGAAGUAAGAGGUCAGGCUCCGUCCCAGCCAGUCCAUGAUGUUGAAGAGGAGGAAGCAGCAGAUGGGGUUGAAGAACUGACCUGGGAGGGAAACGGCUGCAGCUCAUACUGGUCCCCAACUCCCCUCUCCCGUCCUCUCCCCUUUGUGCCCCCUGCCCUGCCGUGUUGUCCACCCCGACACUCACUCCACUUCCCGGGACUGGUGGAGCUGGUCACCAUGGCUGUGAUGGCGGGGAAGACAGACAGGGUGACUGUGAAGACCAACACAAGGCACAGCGCUGUCAGCCAGAUCUGGGAGCCAGAGGCAGGGGUGUGAGCAGGCAGGGCAGGCCCAGGGCCCUACCCUCUUGCCCAAGCCCCAUCUGGGAGCAGGACACCUGGGGCCUGGCCCAGCUGUGUCCCUGACCCACUAUGACCCUAUGACCUUGGGGGAGUCAAUGUGAGCCCCAUUCUUCCCCAGAGAUGGUGGUUGGGGGCUAUAUCCAAGCCAAACCUUCUGGAAGACAGUGAAGACUGAAGGUUUUCCUGGCUUCUGGGGCUCAUCUGGCUCUGAUUCCGGCUCCUUCUCCAGGUCAAGAUCCAGGGUCAGAGCUACCUUCUGGGGACUACUGGGAAUCCCGUUCUCAUCUGGGGUGAGGGGGGACGGGGAAGGGUCAUGCUUGUGACCCAGGUUUCCUGACAGCCAGGCCCAACGAAGGAGAUUCCCAGCAGUUAAAACAAGCGAUCCUCAGCCGGGCAUGGUGGCUCACGCCUGUAAUCCCAACACUUUGGGAGACCAAGGCGGCCAUAUUGCUUGAGCCCAGGAGUUCGAGACCAGCCUGGGCAACAUGGUGAAUCCCCAUCUCUACAAAAAUACAAAAAUUAGCCAGGCAUGGCAGCCUGCACCUAUAGUCCCAGCUGCUCAGGAGAUUGAGGCGGAUCACUUGAGCCCAGGAGGUCGAGGCUGCAGUUGAGUUGUGAUUGCGCUGCAGUGCAGCCCAGGUGACAGAGUGAGAUCCUGCCUCAAAAUAACAACAACCUCCCCCUCCAAAAAAAAAAAAAAAAGUGAUCUUCCUCCAGCCCAGGCUGCAGGCGAAGGGAAUUAAUGAUGGAAAUAUGCAUAGCUACCAGGAAGCACAUGCAUGGAUCGGGUGAUGAGUGAAGCACCUUAGAUGGAUUAUUUCAUUACCAUUGCUUUACAAAUGACACAUUGAGGUUCAGAGAGGUGCAGUGGCUAAGUGGUUUGUUUCAGGCCACACCGCUGGGAUGUUGUGAAACCAGUAUUCAAAUUCAGAGGUCUUCAGAUCCAAAGUUUGCAUGUAUGGAAGCUCUAUUGCCUCCCCAUUUUAUAGAGGUGGAAACUGAGGCCCAAACAACAGCAGGGAUGACUUUAAUCCUACCAACUUCCCUUCAUGUUCUUCCUGUUGGCACAAGGCUACUAGGGGUGGGCUCUGGCUGGGAACAGAGGGAACAGCUUCCCAGGGGAGGUGACUGUAGCUUCCUCUGCAUCUCCCACCUCCCCAGGAGGGUCUCAGGGCUUACCAGACUGGAGGAGCUCAGCUUUGGUCUCCAGCUCCUGAGCUUGGGCCUGGGAUGGUUUAUUGGCGAGGUAGUAGCGGGCAAACUUCUGCAGAAGGACAGGAAAGUGUUGGGCCUGCCUGGCUUGCCUGAGGUGUCUGGAUCCCUCCCCAUACCAUCGGCCUGGAGGCUGGGGCCCCUCAGUGUCUUCUCUGGGGGUCAGGGCUGAGACCAGGUCUCCUCCACCUCCCCUGGCCUCUCUCAGGGCCUCAGACUCAGGACUCUAUCCAAGAUGCUUUGAGGUGGGGCCUCGAGCCCAACAGCAGGCUCACCAGGUGAGGCAGGCUCAGGUAACACAUGAUGGACAUGAGGAUGCCCACACAGGGCGUGAUAAAGUACCCCAGGGCAGAGGUCUCGGCAUCCACACCACCUGCGGAGAAACUUCAGCUGCAGAAGAGAGGCACUUGGUCCCGCCAGCUCCCACAGGGCUUCCAACUCGUCCCACUUCCCAUUGUGCACUUCUUAGACCCACUCCCAGCCUCUUCCGCUUCUCCUUUCACUGACAAAUGGGAAUCUUGUGCAGGGCCCCCAGAGCAGCCCUGCACUUCUCUCACUUUCCCCUAUGUGUCAUUUUUGUUGAGCACAUACUAUGUGCCAGGAGCCUUCUCUUAUUGCAUGCUCAUUACAAUCUGAGCAGGGAGCUAUACCAAUCACGUCGGUGGGGAAACCAGCACAGAGAGGUGACAAGCCCUGUCUAACGCCCCUAGCUGGUAAGCGGUGAAGCAGAUUCAAACCCAAAACUAUCUGAAUCCCAAACCCAUCCCUUCAUCCUUCAACUUCAACCUGCUGCCACAUGCCAGUAUUAGCCCCAGGAAUCCUGCCCCUGUCCCUGAGUUAACCCAGUCCUCACUUGGUUACUACUCCUCACUGCAGGGCCCAUGAGCCCCACUCCCUAGCCCCAGACCCAAUCCCCAUUUCCAUAUCACCCGCUUGCCUCCAUCUUCACCCAGAACCCAUGUGUCUUGCUCUCACAUGCCCUCUCUGUUCCCCAAACCUCAGAGGCCACCCCAGCCCUCUAGCUACCCAAGUGCACUCACUGGCCAUGGACAGGAGCAUGGCAAGGGCAGCAAAGAUCCCAGCCAGGCCCUGGCCGCUGAGGAAGAGGGUGCUGUAGGUGGAGGGCAUGGUGCCCAGCUGCCCGAAGAGGCUGCCCUGUAGGACUGCACUGAAGGCUGUGGAGGACAGGGAUGGGGGCUGCUGCUCAACUAGGCAAGACUCAGAGGCUCCCUGGAGGAGGUGCCGGCAGGAUACACAGGGGACUCUGGGCACUCGGGGGCAACACCCGCCAUUCAGCCCUCUUCUGAGGUGCAGCCAUUGGUCUGUGGGGCUGCUGACCAGGAGGCCUGCUCCUAGGUCACCGGACAAGUGACUCUUCCCCUCCCUGUGGGCCUCAGUUUCUUCACCAGGGAUAUGAGCAACCAUGAUGCUGUCUGCCCUUCUCAGAUAUGCUGGGCCCUUUCAGUGAUGAGGCCAGGUUGAAGCCCUGCAUGGGCUGGCUGGGGAGGGGGUGGAGGUGCUCACAGUUGAUGAAGCAGACGGAGGCCAUGGUGAUGGAGAAGAAGGGUCCGGGGCUCAUGUCCACCUUGACCAGCGCUGCCGUCAGGGCAAAGAGCAGCAGUAUGGCCAGCAGGCUGCCCAGAAUGCGCACCGUCUCCGGGACGCUGCUCAGAAGCAGGCAGAGUGGAUCAGUGGGGCCCAGGCCAGAGGGGGCUGGGGAAGGAGGCUCGACACCUGGGGCUGGGCAGUAGGGCUUGGGGGCAGGGGGCGCAGGGGAGGGCCUCAAUGAAGCUGCCUCGGCAGGGGGCGCAGGAGCCAGGGUAGGCCUCUCACCACUGGUACAGGAAGGAGUUGAGGAAGGUGAAGAGCAGCAGGGGCAGCUGGGACAGCAGCGUCACCCAAUUGUUGAAGUUGAAGGCAUCCUCGGGGCCCGUGUGGUUGGUGCUCAGGAUCCUGGCUGUGCUGUUGCUGGCCCCAGCCAGUCGCGCCUGGAAGUACUGCCAGGUGGGGAGGUGGUGGAGGGUCAGUACCCCUCAGCCUUCCCCCGCUGCCUUCCCCCUCACUUGUGAUUGCUUUCUAAUGUCUGUGGGGACUUGUCUGCCUUGUCCUUGUUCUGUUCCCAGCACCCGGCACACAGUCAGAGCUCCAUGAAUGUGCACUGUUAAAUGGCUGAAGUCUGGGACACAGCCCAAGCAUUAAGAUCCCCCAGCAAGAGCCUCGAUCCAGCAUUGGACGGCCCUUCCUCUUCAGUGCCCUGGUUCCAGCCCCCAUCCCUACUCCUGCAGCCGCUGCUAGAUUCAUUCAUUCCACGGGGCCCAGCACAGAGCCAGUACCCAAGAAGCAUUUGCAAAGUUGUUGCAGUGAAUACAGAUGAAUAACCCGGUCCCAAAGACAACGCAAACCCCACAUUUCUGCCUUCCCUGAAGAGCCUCCCUGCUGUUUCCUCCUGUGUCCCCAGUGCCUGCUCCACAGUAGGUGCACAUUAAAAGUUUGUUGAAUGAG